Molecule: ribosomal RNA, 573 nt
Filed under: Zelus tetracanthus
Lineage: Eukaryota; Metazoa; Arthropoda; Insecta; Hemiptera; Reduviidae
Description: eukaryotic LSU rRNA
Rfam family: Eukaryotic large subunit ribosomal RNA
Source: RNAcentral
GACCAAGGAGUUUAUCGUGUACGCAAGUCAUUGGGUGAAUAAAACCCAAAGGCGAAAUGAAAGUAAAGAGUAGAGUCUAUAAUUGAGAAUUUAUUCUCUUUUAUUUCUCUCUUUAGGGAAGAUGAAAAUUAAAUUUAUAGUCUAUUUUAGAUUAUUUAUUUAUAUUUUUCGCAUUCCCAGGGCGCUUGUUUCACGCUUUGCGUGUCGAUGCGCACCCAGAGCGUACACGCUGAUACCCGAAAGAUGGUGAACUAUGCCUGGCCAGGACGAAGCCAGGGGAAACCCUGGUGGAGGUCCGCAGCGAUUCUGACGUGCAAAUCGAUCGUCGGAGCUGGGUAUAGGGGCGAAAGACCAAUCGAACCAUCUAGUAGCUGGUUCCCUCUGAAGUUUCCCUCAGGAUAGCUUGCGCUCGUCUUAUGAGUCUCAUCCGGUAGAGCGAAUGAUUAGAGGCAUUGGGGUCGAAACGACCUCAACCUAUUCUCAAACUCCAAAUAGAUGAGACCCCCGGCUUUCUUAAAAUUGAAGCCGUGGGAUUAGGAUCAGAGUGCCAAGUGGGCCAAUUUUGGUAAGCAG